Molecule: long non-coding RNA, 2207 nt
Filed under: Homo sapiens (human)
Lineage: Eukaryota; Metazoa; Chordata; Mammalia; Primates; Hominidae
Description: long intergenic non-protein coding RNA 1094
Source: RNAcentral
AUUAAAGUGAGCCUCCCAAAGGAAAACGUGGAUCUACUUACCAACGCAGAAAAUGAUACACACGGAUUCGAUUUAGUCAUGUGCCUGGGAAAGAUUGAUGCCAGCUCCAGAAAGGCAUCCGAAUGGUCUAAGUAAUGCCAUCCAUCUGUCAGUAAUAGAUUCAGAAAUGGUGCUGGCAGAGGAAACAGCAGCAAUGAUGCUCUGCGAGCCUGACUCAGGGCCAGCAGUGAUGGCAGCCCAAGAAUUCUGGAGGAAAGUGGCUCUGGGAAUUGAACAGUGGCUCAGUGAUGUUGGGGCCACCAAGUCUGCAAUUCUCCCUACCUGUUCUUCAUGGUUGUAAGAUGACUGCUGCAAUUCUCGGCAUCAUGUGCAUGUUAAUGUCAGGAGGAAGAAAGGAAGAGGGAGCACUGGGAUGUUACAUUCAUUUUGUCAGGAAAAGCAAAGCCUUUCCAGACAGCUCCGAAACUUGCUUACCUCUCAUUGGCCAGCACCAUCACUUGACCACUUGUCCACUCCUAGCUGCAAGGAAAGUGGCAAAGUAGAAGGUAUUUGAGAAUGUCUGCUGGGUUAGCCAAAACAAUAGUGACUUCUACACCCAAUUUUCUGGGCACUGCAGAAGUAUCCUUGAGUCCUAUGUGAUCAGAGGGAGAGCAAACCUCAAUAAUGAAACAGAUUCAAUUUCCAUCACCCAGUGAGACACCAUGGGAUUAGAAUAAAUUUUUAAAAAAACAAAUUGAAAAAAAUGCAUUUUUAAAACAACAAAAUCAGAAAGGAUGAAAGGUGAUAUUUCUAGCAUAUCAGUUUGUGGUGGUAAAUUAAUUACCUUAUACAAAGGCCUCAGUGACUUUCUUCUCCUUACCUAACGAAUCAUCUUUAAAAUAAGUAAAAUAAAGAAACAAGAGCAGCAGCAGAUGCUUCCUAAAAAGAAGUUACCAAAUCUGUUCACCACAAACCUGAGAAUUCAACUGUGGACAUUUGGACACCAGCAAUGAACAUGAAACUCAGCUUAUGAGGCAUAUUUGGCUAAAGGUCAAGGUGACUUAAAGUUCAUCAUAGGACAUCUACAAUUUGCAAAGCAGGUGACUGGAUAUGGACUCCUUCCAAGUCUCAUUUAAUUGGAUAAUGCCUACGUUUUAAGUAUCAGAAGUGAGUCUUUCUCUAUUAAAUGAAGUCAGUUCCACUAAAACCUAAAUCUUGUUUGGCAGGCACUCCAUGUUUCUUAAUUUUUAUUCCAUGCUGUAUAUUCUUUUAGACUUGAUUUUCACUUUUUUUUCUUUUUUCCUGUACAUUUAUCUUUGCUGUGAAACAAAGUGCCCUGCUUUGAAGGACAGGUUUGUGGGCUGCUGGUGGUGAGACAACAGCAGUCCUUCCAAGUCUUCCUCCCAUCACUCUGUUAGCUCUCCCUUUGUUUUUAAUUAGCAUUACACCAGUUAAUUCUGUUAUCUCUUAACCCUGGUUCUGCAUCCUCUUCUUCUUUUCUAUUCCUUACUCCGCUCCUGUUUUUUCUUGUUCUGCUUUUCCAAGAAAUGUCUUGUCUCCUCAUCAGUUGACUGUCUUCUCUUUCCAGAGGGACCAUAAAGGUGCCAGCCUAAGGAACACGUAAAACGUGGGAACAGACAAACAAGCUGCUGCCUAUUACAGAGAUAGAUAAUUAACUUUGGACCAUUACAUGCAAUUCAUCAGCUUAUCUUUUUCAAACUUUAUAUAAGAAGUCAUUUCCCAAUGGUAACCACUUGCCAGCUGCAACUUUGACGCAUAUUAUCAGGAUAGGUGAGAUUGAUGGGGGCCCUUUGAACUCUUCCCAGGGAAUUAUCUUUAUAAUGUUACAGUUUUCUCUAUAGCAUGGUCAUAUUGUUAACAUUGGUUAUAAGGUCAUAUGGUUAGUAUGGUUAGUAUUGGUGGCUCACAGCUGUAAUACCAGCACUUUGGGAGGCCAAGGUGGGAGGAUCACUUGAGCCCUGGUGUUCAAAACCAGCUCUGGAAACAUAGCAAGACCUUGUCUCUACAAAAAAAAAUUAAAUAAAUUAAAAGAUUAGCUGGGCAUGGUGGCACAUGCCUGUAGUCCUCACUACUUGGGAAACUAAGGUGGGAGGAUCCUUUGAGCUUGGGAGGUUGAGGCUGCAGUGAGCUGUGGUUGUGCCAUGGCACUCCAGCCUGGGUGACAGAGUGAGAGCCUGUCUCAAAAAAAAAAAAAAAAAAAAAAAAAA